CCACGUCUCCCUCUUCUGGUAGGUGCAAGCAAUAAAAGGAAUAUCAUUUCAUUAAUAUCAUUCCAAUCAGUAAAGGAAUAGUUCUUCCCUUAGCUAGGUACGGCUCUUUCGAGCAAUCAAUCUGCUUAUCGCUUCAAAAUAAGUCACUUCCUGCUAAAAGUGGAGCUCUUCUUAGGGUGGACUACACGAGUCUUAUGAAAUAGAGCCGAGGUGCGGAGCAAAGGCUUUCUGGUCGAUAAGUCAACAGAUGUUCCCCUGGGGCAGACAGAAGAAGUUCCGAUUCCUUCUACCACCAUCACUUCCUGACUCACCUGCUCAAACGAGAGUUUAAGUUCCGGAACUAGUGCCUGCCCACUGCUUUUGCUGAAAGCUUGGUCUAAAAGUCUCAAUCUUUCUUAAGUUAAGAAGCCAGAGCAAGUGAAUGUAAAAGUUCGCCUAAUACUCGAAUUUUGUUCUCCUUCCACUUUGACUUCGACUAUUGCUACUUCCUCGACCCGACCCCGAGAUCUCGAAUUCUUUUAACAGACAGAGACUGCCUCCACUUCCCUUAAUUAGCUUGUUGAGGAACGGGCUUGACUAUAUAAGGCAGCCCCAGUUCCAGUAUUGGAGGAAGCACAUGGUAUGGAAAGCAUGGUAAGUAGGACAGCCAAUCUUUAAGAAAGUUAUCUCACCGGGGUCCGGUUAGUCGACCUAAGCUAAGCACUGUUCAAAAUGAGGGGAAAUGGCUUAUUAAACGAAAAAUGCUAAAGCGGCAGAUCGGGAAGAAGUUCCUUAUUCCGGGGAAGAAAGAAAUAUAGAAAUUUUAUGAUAUUCGUAGUUUUUACCUAUAAAAGGGCUGGCUUUUCGCUCGGUUGAUUACUGAAGAAGGCUCUUGUCUCGGUAAGUCUGUUCUGGGCACUCUGUCUUUCCACCUGAUACCUUUAUAUAUGGGUAUCCGGCUCUCGAUCGAAUGCGACUGCACCUAUCCCUGCUUUCUUCGGUGCUGGUACUGCCUCUUACUCUCGUGGGUAAACUCCUACUUGAUUAGUCAGAACUGAACUUCUCUGUCUCAACUCGUAGACCUAUCUAUCCUCUUCUUUUUAAGAGAUAGGGGCUACAUUUGCCGCGGAUUGCUCGUAUUUCUUUACCCCAAUUAAUGGUUUUUACUUUGUUAUAGCCCUUCCAUCUUCACCUUCCAGUACUAAUCUCUUCUUCUGGGGAAGACCCUUCAUCUUACCAGGGAGCCAGCCGUGCUCUUGCACAAGUGGUUACUUCUUUCGCGAGUGAAAAGCUCGUUUCUUCCUUGCUUUCAAAGUGAG
Molecule: long non-coding RNA, 1298 nt
Filed under: Ricinus communis (castor bean)
Lineage: Eukaryota; Viridiplantae; Streptophyta; Magnoliopsida; Malpighiales; Euphorbiaceae
Description: long non-coding RNA (RCOM_LNC003521)
Source: RNAcentral